GCGAUCAGGGUUGCCGUUUGGUUAGCAUUGGAAUGGACUGGGGGGUGGUUUGCGGGGCUAGGGCUGGCCGCGGGCGAGGGAGAGGCCGAGCCCUGUCAUCGCAUCCCAGUUUACGGGUCAAGGGUUUGGACGGUCAUUUCUGGGUUGCAUGCUCCUGACCUUGGGGCCUUUGACUGAUGGGAUCAGUCGGGCAGACAGUCGCAGAGGAGAAGGCGGCCCUUCAAUCCUUGGAGGUAGACCUGGGAAUUGCAAGAAAACGUUGACCUAGCUCUGCCUCCUCAGUUCUCUCCUUGCUUAGAUAAGAUGGUAUUAAGGAGAAGGACCUGACCACUGGCCCCUGGCUACAUUGUCUGCGGUGAACAAACCUUUUCAGAUUUAGGGGAAUGGUAUUCCAUUCUCUUGGCCUCAGACAGGAGAGAACAGAUAGAAGAAAAUGGUGACAUGAGGGUUUUUGUGAAAGACACACAUGUCUUGGCCAACUCUUCUCUGAUCUAUAAAUUUCACAAAAUUAUAAAUGGAGAAUGUACUGAAAUUUUUUUGACGUCUGAUGAAACAGAAGAGGAAGGUGUAUACAAUUUUAUCUAUAAUGGAAAUAAUACAUUUCACAUCAUUGAAA
Long non-coding RNA from Choloepus didactylus (southern two-toed sloth), 616 nucleotides. RefSeq lists it as uncharacterized. NCBI's taxonomy places the organism in Eukaryota, Metazoa, Chordata, Mammalia, Pilosa, Megalonychidae. The record is from RefSeq and is a predicted model, not a curated record. The transcript has 5 exons.